This 1466-nucleotide ribosomal RNA is filed under the name Priestia megaterium. Its description in RNAcentral is "Bacillus megaterium partial 16S ribosomal RNA". It matches the Rfam family "Bacterial small subunit ribosomal RNA". Lineage: Bacteria; Bacillati; Bacillota; Bacilli; Caryophanales; Bacillaceae. The record is from RNAcentral.
GUAGUCGUAUCGAUCGAUCGAUGCAUCCAUGCUAGCUAGCUGUCGUAGAUACUUUAGUUAUAGCUAGCUAGCGCAUGCUGAUGCUACUAGCGGCCAAGCUUGCUUCUAUGACGUUAGCGGCGGACGGGUGAGUAACACGGUGGGCAACCUGCCUGUAAGGAUCUUCUCCUCGGUCAUGGGAGAUGAUUGAAAGAUGGUUUCGGCUAUCACUUACAGAUGGGCCCGCGGUGCAGUUAGCUAGUUGGGUGAGGUAACGGCUCACCAAGGCAACGAUGCAUAGCCGACCUGAGAGGGUGAUCGGCCAGCACUGGGACUGACGGACACGGCCCAGACUCCUACGGGAGGCAGCAGUAGGGAAUCUUCCGCAAUGGACGAAACGGUCUGACGGAGGCCAACGCCGCGUGAGUGAUGAAGGCUUUCGGGUCGUAAAACUCUGUUGUUAGGGAAGAACGAAGUACAAGAGUGAACUGUCUUGUACCUUGACGGUACCUAACCAGAAAGCCACGGCUAAUUACGUGCCAGCCGAGCCGCGGUAAUAGGAACGUAGGUGGCCAAGCGUUAUCCGGAAUUAUUGGGCGUAAAGCGCGCGCAGGCGGUUUAGCUUAAGUCUGAUAGGUGAAAGCCCACGGCUCAACCGUGGAGGGUCAUUGGAAACUGGGGAACUUGAGUGCAGGAAAGAGAAAAGCGGGAAAUUCCACGUGUAGCGGUGAAAUGCGUAGAGAUGUGGAGGAACACCAGUGGCGAAGGGGACGGCUUUUUGGUACUGUAACUGACGCUGAGGCGCGAAAGCGUGGGGAGCAAACAGGAUUAGAUACCCUGGUAUAGUCCACGCCGUUAAAACGAUGAGUGCUAAGUGUUAGAGGGUUUCCGCCCUUUAGUGCUGCAGCUAACGCAUUAUAAGCACUCCGCAUUACUGGGGAGUACGGUCGCAAGACUGAAACUCAAAGGAAUUGACGGGGGCCCGCACAAGCUAGGUGGAGCAUGUUAGGUUUAAUUCGAAGCAACGCGAAGAACCUUACCAGGUCUUGACAUCCUCUGACAACUCAUUAGAGAUAGAGCUAGUUCCCCUUCCGGGGGACAGAGUGACAGGUGGUGCAUGGUUGUCGUCAGCUCGUGUCGUAUGAGAUGUUGGUAAUGUUAAGUCCCGCAACGAGCGCAACCCUUGAUCUUAGUUGCCAGCAUUUAGUUGGGCACUUCUAAGGUGACUGCCGGUGACAAACCGGAGGAAGGUGGGGAUGACGUCAAAUCAUCAUGCCCCUUAUGACCUGGGCUACACACGUGCUACAAUGGAUGGUACAAAGGGCUGCAAGACCGCGAGGUCAAGCCAAUCCCAUAAAACCAUUCUCAGUUCGGAUUGUAGGCUGCAACUCGCCUACAUGAAGCUGGAAUCGCUAGUAAUCGCGGAUCAGCAUGCCGCGGUGAAUACGAUCGAUCGUGCUAACGUGACUCAGUACGUGACUUACGAC